GUGCGCCGCGCCUCUGAGGCGCAGCAUGUGAAGCGGAUACGGCAUCCAGUGCGCGGCGAGCCUCUCAGCCGGCCGGGAUGGCUACCACGGCCGAGCUCUUCGAGGAGCCUUUUGUGGCAGAUGAAUAUAUUGAGCGUCUUGUAUGGAGAACCCCAGGAGGAGGCUCUAGAGGUGGACCUGAAGCUUUUGAUCCUAAAAGAUUAUUAGAAGAAUUUGUAAGUCAUAUUCAGGAACUCCAGAUAAUGGAUGAAAGGAUUCAGAGGAAAGUAGAGAAACUAGAGCAACAAUGUCAGAAAGAAGCCAAGGAAUUUGCCAAGAAGGUACAAGAGCUGCAGAAAAGCAAUCAGGUUGCCUUCCAACAUUUCCAAGAACUAGAUGAGCACAUUAGCUAUGUAGCAACUAAAGUCUGUCACCUUGGAGACCAGUUAGAGGGGGUAAACACACCCAGACAACGCGCAGUGGAGGCUCAGAAAUUGAUGAAAUACUUUAAUGAGUUUCUAGAUGGAGAAUUGAAAUCUGAUGUUUUUACAAAUUCUGAAAAGGUAAGUGCUGUCAGAGGAUAAAACCAAAUCACAGCAUUAAUAACAGUGCCCU
This 594-nucleotide small RNA is filed under the name Pongo abelii (Sumatran orangutan). RNAcentral describes it as "retained intron". The record is from RNAcentral. Lineage: Eukaryota; Metazoa; Chordata; Mammalia; Primates; Hominidae.